RNAcentral lists this ribosomal RNA (27 nucleotides) under Kirganelia glauca. RNAcentral describes it as "Phyllanthus glaucus partial 18S ribosomal RNA". Lineage: Eukaryota; Viridiplantae; Streptophyta; Magnoliopsida; Malpighiales; Phyllanthaceae. The record is from RNAcentral.
CCUGCGGAAGGAUCAUUGUCGAAACCU